This 512-nucleotide ribosomal RNA is filed under the name uncultured bacterium. RNAcentral's name for it is "partial 16S ribosomal RNA". The record is from RNAcentral.
GGAGUUAGCCGGUGCUUCUUCUGCGAGUAACGUCACAGAUGUAAGGUAUUAACUUACACCCUUUCCUCCUCGCUGAAAGUGCUUUACAACCCGAAGGCCUUCUUCACACACGCGGCAUGGCUGCAUCAGGGUUUCCCCCAUUGUGCAAUAUUCCCCACUGCUGCCUCCCGUAGGAGUCUGGGCCGUGUCUCAGUCCCAGUGUGGCUGAUCAUCCUCUCAGACCAGCUAGGGAUCGUCGCCUAGGUGAGCCUUUACCUCACCUACUAGCUAAUCCCACCUGGGCUUAUCCAUCAGCGCAAGGCCCGAAGGUCCCCUGCUUUCCCCCGUAGGGCGUAUGCGGUAUUAGCAGUCGUUUCCAACUGUUAUCCCCCACAAAUGGGCAAAUUCCCAGGCAUUACUCACCCGUCCGCCGCUCGUCAUCUACAANACANCUUAUAAUAGUACGCUCGACUGCAUGUGUUAGUCGUCGCCGCCACGCGUUACUACUACUGAGCCGAGAUACAACUACUCGA